AAAAGUACUUGCCAUUAGGACAUCCCGGUCAAUUUAACAAAAUAAAAAUCAUACAAAUUGAAUUGUAUAAAUUGCAUAUAUGUUUCUCUCAUUAAUUUUUCAUCCAAAAUUCAGGCAAUCAUUACAGUUAUAAAAGGAUAGGAGUAAGCGGUGAUGGUUUAAAGCACGAGAAAACUGAGAAUCAUAUCAGACAUGAACAUUUGCAAAUAUAGAAACAAAUGCGGUUAAUUAUAUCAGUAUAACUAUAAAGAGAAACAAAACAAGCUACAUAAGAAAAG
Molecule: unclassified non-coding RNA, 278 nt
Filed under: Hevea brasiliensis (rubber tree)
Lineage: Eukaryota; Viridiplantae; Streptophyta; Magnoliopsida; Malpighiales; Euphorbiaceae
Source: RNAcentral